Molecule: non-coding RNA, 31 nt
Filed under: Rattus norvegicus (Norway rat)
Lineage: Eukaryota; Metazoa; Chordata; Mammalia; Rodentia; Muridae
Source: RNAcentral
UNGAGUAGGAACAUACUAAUCCAGGGAGAGC